This 384-nucleotide ribosomal RNA is filed under the name Apterygocampus epinnulatus. RNAcentral describes it as "partial 12S ribosomal RNA". It matches the Rfam family "Bacterial small subunit ribosomal RNA", at positions 794 to 1383 of the family's 1533-position model. Lineage: Eukaryota; Metazoa; Chordata; Actinopteri; Syngnathiformes; Syngnathidae. The record is from RNAcentral.
GCUUAGCCGUAAACUUUGAUAUACCAACACUUUUAUAUCCGCCUGGGCACUACGAGCGUUAGCUUAAAACCCGAAGGACUUGGCGGUGCUUUAGACCCCCCUAGAGGAGCCUGUUCUAUAACCGAUAACCCCCGUUAAACCUCACCCUUUUUUGCUAAAUCCGCCUAUAUACCGCCGUCGUCAGCUUACCUUUUGAAAGAGUAACAGUAAGCAAAACUGGUAUAACCUUGAACGUCAGGUCGAGGUGUAGUAUAUAAAAGGGGAAGAAAUGGGCUACAUUCAUACACUAAUGAAUACGAAUUGUUUAUUGAAAUAUAAGCAUAAAGGAGGAUUUAGCAGUAAGAAGAAAAUAGAGUGUUCUUCUGAAAUAGGCUCUGAAGCGCG